ACUACGGGUGGCAGCAGUGAGGAAUAUUGGUCAAUGGGCGGAAGCCUGAACCAGCCAAGUAGCGUGCAGGAUGACGGCCCUACGGGUUGUAAACUGCUUUUAUACGGGAAUAACGCGCCUUACGUGUAGGGCUUUGCAUGUACCGUAUGAAUAAGGACCGGCUAAUUCCGUGCCAGCAGCCGCGGUAAUACGGAAGGUACGGUCGUUAUCCGGAUUUAUUGGGUUUAAAGGGAGCGUAGGCCGCAUGUCAAGCGUGCUGUGAAAUGUCCGGGCUCAACCCGGGCCUUGAAGCGCGCAAUGGCGUGCUUGAGUCCGCGGAAAGCAGGCGGAAUUCGUCGUGUAGCGGUGAAAUGCUUAGAUAUGACGAAGAACCCCGAUUGCGAAGGCAGCUUGCUGCAGCGGAACUGACGCUGAUGCUCGAAAGCGCGGGUAUCGAACAGGAUUAGAUACCCGAGUAGUC
RNAcentral lists this ribosomal RNA (460 nucleotides) under uncultured bacterium. Its description in RNAcentral is "partial 16S ribosomal RNA". It matches the Rfam family "Bacterial small subunit ribosomal RNA", at positions 338 to 795 of the family's 1533-position model. The record is from RNAcentral.